UUGAAAAAACCAAACCUAGGAGUUCAAUUAAAUAUUGUUUGAGGUUUUUUUUAUAUAUAUAUUUUAAACAAUAUUUAAUUGAACUCCUAGGUUUGGUUUUUUCAAACAUGGGGA
Molecule: non-coding RNA, 114 nt
Organism: Pelobates cultripes (western spadefoot toad)
Lineage: Eukaryota; Metazoa; Chordata; Amphibia; Anura; Pelobatidae
Source: the annotation of a GenBank genome assembly